Molecule: transfer RNA, 73 nt
Filed under: Kronichthys heylandi
Lineage: Eukaryota; Metazoa; Chordata; Actinopteri; Siluriformes; Loricariidae
Description: tRNA-Lys
Rfam family: tRNA
About the family: Transfer RNA (tRNA) molecules are approximately 80 nucleotides in length.
Source: RNAcentral
CACUAGGAAGCUAAAUGGAGUUAGCAUUAGCCUUUUAAGCUAAAGAUUGGUGAUUCCCAACCACCUCUAGUGG